AGGCGGGAGGAGGCGGGCGGAGGAGGCCGAAGGGCUGGAGGAGGGGGCCACAGCCGCGGACUUUCUCCCUCCCCCUCGUGCGUCGGCGGGAUUGUUGGGGCGCUGGGUCCCGGCCCCCGGAUUGUGAUGUUUCAGGUGGCGGUGGGCCGGGGGACGCAGCCCGGGCCCCAGGACCUGGUCCCCAGGUCUGGUCCUGCCCCCAGCACCUCGCUCCCGUCGCGGACCCCGUGGGCCAUGAGAAUGGUAGAUGCUGAGACACAAGACUCCAAGAGCCAGCACAAGGAUGGAGGCUUGUGACACAGCGCGGUGGACAGGAGUGGAGGGGCCAGUCCUGCUUUGGCUCCUUUGAGCCGUGCGGCCUCAGCUGUAUUCCUAACCUCAUUGCUGCCAUGGUACAGUGGGGUCUCCAGACUCCACCUGGUUGGAUUGUGUGAGGACAGAGACCAGCAUAUGGAGAACCCAGGCUUUGGCCAAAGCCAGAUCAUUUCCACAGCACGAGAUGAACCACAUUUGGAAGAAGAACUGCUCCUGAACUUGGAGAACUAAAAACAAAACAAAAAAAUUUCUAAGAGUCUUAAAGGCACAGCAAGUUUGUAAAUUGGGUGACACCUCCGCCCUCAAGGAAGCCACAGUUAUUCAUGAGUAGCAGACCUCGACUUCAGCACACAUGGAAAUGGUUUGCAUGCCGACAUCGCCGGCCAGGUGGGUGACACCAGAUGGUCACCGUGACCAACAGCAGGAGCACACAGCCUGGAUCACCCAUCUUGAAGACACCCCAGGAACCCAUAAAUAAACCAGCUUUGGAUCAUAAGGUCGCUCUCUCUCUGGAGGGCCCAUGCUCUGUUUCUUUGAACCGUGGGACUGGCUUUGGCCAAGGGACAGCAGCGAAGGUCACGCGCACAUGGGCUUGGCGAGCACUUGUGCACGUGGACUUCUGUCUGCUUUUGUGGCACGUGGGGCUCUGAGGCCAAGAUGUGAAGAGUCCAGCAGAGGCUGAUGGAGAGGCCACCUGGAAGUGUUCCCAGCAGCCGCGCACCAGCUGCCACACAUGGGAGGUGCAGGAGACAGUCCCGCCCGGCACCAGGGCUGCAUGAGCUGGUGUCUUCCUCCCCACAGCAUCAGCGCAUCUUGGAAGGAAGCACCUUCCGGCUCAGACAGGCAGCCACAAACAUCGGUUCCUACCCUGCUCCAACUGCAGGGCUGUUGGCCUGGGGCAUCAUUCACAGACCCUGCCGAGCCUGCCCUUUCCCGCAUGACUCAGUCCCACUGGGUUCUGUCACUUGCAUUCCCUCAACUCUGGC
This is a long non-coding RNA of Heterocephalus glaber (naked mole-rat), 1301 nucleotides long. The record is from Ensembl. NCBI's taxonomy places the organism in Eukaryota, Metazoa, Chordata, Mammalia, Rodentia, Bathyergidae.